This 71-nucleotide transfer RNA is filed under the name Stegodyphus mimosarum. It matches the Rfam family "tRNA". From Rfam's summary of the family: Transfer RNA (tRNA) molecules are approximately 80 nucleotides in length. Their secondary structure includes four short double-helical elements and three loops (D, anti-codon, and T loops). Further hydrogen bonds mediate the characteristic L-shaped molecular structure. tRNAs have two regions of fundamental functional importance: the anti-codon, which is responsible for specific mRNA codon recognition, and the 3' end, to which the tRNAs corresponding amino acid is attached (by aminoacyl-tRNA synthetases). tRNAs cope with the degeneracy of the genetic code in two manners: having more than one tRNA (with a specific anti-codon) for a particular amino acid; and 'wobble' base-pairing, i.e. permitting non-standard base-pairing at the 3rd anti-codon position. The record is from Rfam by way of RNAcentral. Lineage: Eukaryota; Metazoa; Arthropoda; Arachnida; Araneae; Eresidae.
GCCUUCGUAGUGUAACGGUAGCACACACGGCGCGUAUUCAAGAUGUCCAGGUUCGACUCCUGGGGACGGCA